AUUUAUGGCCACACUAUCCUGAACGUGUCUGAUCUUAUCUGAUCUCUUAAGCUAAGCAGGGUCAGGCCUGGUUAGUACUUGGAUGGGAGACCACUGGGAAUAUCUGGUGCUAUAAAGG
This 118-nucleotide ribosomal RNA is filed under the name Catagonus wagneri (Chacoan peccary). Lineage: Eukaryota; Metazoa; Chordata; Mammalia; Artiodactyla; Tayassuidae. The record is from RNAcentral.